Molecule: unclassified non-coding RNA, 262 nt
Filed under: Hevea brasiliensis (rubber tree)
Lineage: Eukaryota; Viridiplantae; Streptophyta; Magnoliopsida; Malpighiales; Euphorbiaceae
Source: RNAcentral
CAUAUUUAAUAUUUUUUAAAAAAUGAGAGUGUUACAUCAUUAUUGUAAAUAGACAAUUAUUUACAUUAUGGAACAACAAGCACCCGCUUGCGAAACAAGCAGAUAUAUACAACAACAGACCCAUCUAAGGAGGGGUAAGAAACUCCAUAUUUGAAAACUGUAAAAGAGCUACAACAAAAAAACAAACUAAACCCAUCUAAGGAGGGGUAAGAAACUCCAUAUUUGAAAACUGUAAAAGAGCUACAACAAAAAAACAAACUAA